ACGCUCGACACCUACGAGAGGCAGCAGUCGGGAAUAUUGCGCAAUGGAGGAAACUCUGACGCAGUGACGCCGCGUAUGGGAAGAAGGUUUUCGGAUUGUAAACCAUUUUAGACAAGGAAGAAACAAGACAGUACUUGUAGAAUAAGCUCCGGCUAACUACGUGCCUGCAGCCGCGGUAAUCUGAGCGGGCUGGCAAGGC
This 199-nucleotide ribosomal RNA is filed under the name uncultured bacterium. RNAcentral describes it as "partial 16S ribosomal RNA". It matches the Rfam family "Bacterial small subunit ribosomal RNA", at positions 328 to 539 of the family's 1533-position model. The record is from RNAcentral.